UACGGAGGAUGCGAGCGUUAUCCGGAUUUAUUGGGUUUAAAGGGUGCGUAGGCGGACUGUCAAGUCAGCGGUAAAAUUGAGAGGCUCAACCUCUUCCCGCCGUUGAAACUGGUGGUCUUAGUGGAUGAGAAGUACGUGGAAUGCGUGGUGUAGCGGUGAAAUGCAUAGAUAUCACGCAGAACCCCGAUUGCGAAGGCAGCAUGCCGGCUUCCUACUGACGCUGAAGCACGAAAGCGUGGGGAUCGAACAGG
Molecule: ribosomal RNA, 251 nt
Filed under: uncultured bacterium
Lineage: Bacteria
Description: partial 16S ribosomal RNA
Rfam family: Bacterial small subunit ribosomal RNA
Source: RNAcentral